AACGCAAAUUGCGCUCUCGGGAUAGGCCUGAGAGCACGCCUCUUUGAGCAUCGAUUCUAACAAACAUCGACUGCUUGUUUAUUUCAUUAUAAACAAGUGAGUUGGAAAAUGAGUGUUCUCGCUGAUUAUUCAAAAAAGGCGCGUCACUUUAAAUAAAGCGAGUUCCUUUUGACAGACUGAAUUAAACAAAGGAGAUUAUAUCUCAUGUUCAGUUUGAUUGUCGCGAUUGGCGAUGUGGAUAAUUUCACUUAAUCGGUGAACUUCCAAACAUGGUCGAUUGUAAACAAUUGAAUAGACUUGGGUUAACAAGUGGUUACCAUGACCGUUUGUGCUCUUUUUGUGUCAAGUUCUUUAAUUGUUGAAAGAGAACAGAAAGGGAAAAUUCAAUAUCUUGAAUUAGAUCUCAAAUGAAGCGAGAAAACCCGCCGAACUUAA
This 435-nucleotide unclassified non-coding RNA is filed under the name uncultured fungus. RNAcentral's name for it is "sequence contains ITS2". The record is from RNAcentral. Lineage: Eukaryota; Fungi.